RNAcentral lists this ribosomal RNA (372 nucleotides) under uncultured organism. RNAcentral describes it as "bacterial SSU rRNA". It matches the Rfam family "Bacterial small subunit ribosomal RNA", at positions 526 to 896 of the family's 1533-position model. The record is from RNAcentral.
CGGGGGGGGCAAGCGUUGUUCGGAAUUACUGGGCGUAAAGGGCGCGUAGGCGGUUUGCUAAGUUGGAUGUGAAAACUCUGAGCUUAACUCAGAGCCUGCAUCCAAAACUGGCAGGCUGGAGUUUUGGAGGGGGAAGCGGAAUUCCUGGUGUAGCAGUGAAAUGCGUAGAUAUCAGGAGGAACACCGGUGGCGAAGGCGGCUUCCUGGACAAAAACUGACGCUGAGGCGCGAAAGCUAGGGGAGCAAACAGGAUUAGAUACCCUGGUAGUCCUAGCCCUAAACGAUGGAUACUUGCUGUGAGGGGGAUUGAAUCCCUUCGUGGCGAAGCUAACGCAUUAAGUAUCCCGCCUGGGGAGUACGGUCGCAAGGCUG